AUGAUCUAUGGGUCUACUGGAGCUACCCACUUCGAUCAAUUAGCCAAGAUUUUGACCGGAUACGAAAUAACUGGUGCUCGAUCUAGUGGUAUUUUUAUGAGGAUUCUAUCUAUCGUUGUAGGAUCCCUAUUCAAGAUCACUGCAGUUCCUUUUCGGGCGACUGUAGAACGGACGACCGCCUAUAGGUGUGUUGUCACACAGCUGCCCGCCUAUAAAGCCACUCGCUCUGUAGUGUUGUCACACAAGAUAAGCACGCCGCCCACCAGCUGGCUGGCCGAAUCUAAGUUAUCUUUCGGUCAACUGUCCACCCAGUCAAGUGCAAAAAACACAGUUGAAUCACGCAACGCACGCUGCUGGUGUGCUUCCUGCCCGCGAGGAAAGAAGAGCGACAAGGUUUAG
Vicia faba (fava bean) is the source of this 399-nucleotide non-coding RNA. Lineage: Eukaryota; Viridiplantae; Streptophyta; Magnoliopsida; Fabales; Fabaceae. The record is from the annotation of a GenBank genome assembly.